RNAcentral lists this RNase P RNA (391 nucleotides) under Limosilactobacillus reuteri. Its description in RNAcentral is "Lactobacillus reuteri RNaseP_bact_a". It matches the Rfam family "Bacterial RNase P class B". Rfam says of the family: Ribonuclease P (RNase P) is a ubiquitous endoribonuclease, found in archaea, bacteria and eukarya as well as chloroplasts and mitochondria. Its best characterised activity is the generation of mature 5'-ends of tRNAs by cleaving the 5'-leader elements of precursor-tRNAs. Cellular RNase Ps are ribonucleoproteins. The record is from RNAcentral. Lineage: Bacteria; Bacillati; Bacillota; Bacilli; Lactobacillales; Lactobacillaceae.
UGCAAGUUUUGGGUAAUUGAGCACAGCUUAUGUUGUGUUAGGAAGGUCCAUGCUCGCACAGGCUGCGAUGCCUGUAGUGUUUGUGCUCGCUGAAAAAAUAAGGCGGGGCACCAUUUUAUGGUGACGGCGGAAAAACGGACUAAGGUUUUAACUAUGUCUUAGUAUUCCUGAAAAGUGCCACAGUGACGAUACAAUAUUGGAAACGAUAUUGGUGGAACGCGGUAAACCCCUCAAGCGGUAAACCCAAACUACGGUAGGGGAGCUUUGGAUAGCAAAUUGAAGUGAUUCCAGGGGAGAGUAUUUCGAUACUCUGAGAUAGAUGAUUACCUCGAUAUAAUUAUGCCUGAUAAUUAUAUUACGACAAAACAUGGCCUACAGAUACUUGCAUACA